Molecule: ribosomal RNA, 508 nt
Filed under: uncultured bacterium
Lineage: Bacteria
Description: bacterial SSU rRNA
Rfam family: Bacterial small subunit ribosomal RNA
Source: RNAcentral
AGAGUUUGAUCCUGGCUCAGAUUGAACGCUGGCGGCAGGCCUAACACAUGCAAGUCGAGCGGGGUUUUCGGACCUAGCGGCGGACGGGUGAGUAAUGCGUAGGAAGCUGCCCGAUAGAGGGGGAUACCAGUUGGAAACGACUGUUAAUACCGCAUAAUGUCUACGGACCAAAGUGUGGGACCUUCGGGCCACAUGCUAUCGGAUGCGCCUACGUGGGAUUAGCUAGUUGGUGAGGUAAUGGCUCACCAAGGCGACGAUCUCUAGCUGGUUUGAGAGGAUGAUCAGCCACACUGGAACUGAGACACGGUCCAGACUCCUACGGGAGGCAGCAGUGGGGAAUAUUGGACAAUGGGCGCAAGCCUGAUCCAGCCAUGCCGCGUGUGUGAAGAAGGCCUUCGGGUUGUAAAGCACUUUCAGCGAGGAGGAAGGGUUAGUCGUUAAUAGCGGCUAAUUUUGACGUUACUCGCAGAAGAAGCACCGGCUAACUCUGUGCCAGCAGCCGCGGUAA